UCACCAGUGGGAUAUUAGGCUAGUACUGGUCCCUUAAAUAUUAAAUAUCAUAAGAUCAUAUACUUAUGUAGAAAUUGUUUAUUAAAAUCAGACUGUUUUUGUUGUUGUUGCUGACUUUAUAUGAUCCGAUGCAUUCUUGCUUUAAUACAAGCAGGAUAUAUCAAUUUUGACAUGAUUUUGUUAAGGAUGAUUUGUUAGUGUUGUAAUAACAGGGGUUUUAUUUAGCAAAAAAAGAGAAGAGGGUAGUUAUAGUUAUAGCUAAAGUUGGUUAAAAAGAGUGAAGGAUGGCUGGAGAGGGAAAGCUGGUUUGUGUAACAGGGGAAUCUCGAUAUAUAGCUUCAUGGCUUGUCAAGAUGUUGCUUCAACGUGAUUACACUGUCAAUGCAACUGAAUUAUCUCUCGGUUUGUUUCUCACUCUCUUUUUAUUUAUAUAUUUCUCUUCUUUUUGUGUUUCUUGCUAUGUUGAUUUACACUGCACGGGUCAAUUAUCUUGCUCAAUUUAGUCUUUUCUCUGAUGUUUAAGUUGAAAAUUAGAUACCCAUUUCUUUAUAUAUAGUCUCUUGGCUAGUUGUGAUUGCUAAUUUGAUUGAAAGUCAUAGCUUGAAGGGAGUAGGUUCAAGCUUGUGAACUUUAAGAUAUUGAUAGAGCUUUUGUUUUCUUCUCAACUUUAUUAUCACCUUUCAAAAACAUUGGCUGAACAAGCAGCUUUGAAGUUUGCAGAAGAGCACAAAUUGUCUUGGUGACACAGCGUCCAGGGUCCUGGUAUGGCCAGGGAUGACUUUGCCAGCCAACAGCUGGUCUUUGAAAUGUUGAUCCAAUGCUUAAAAGACUGAUGGCCCGCUAAAUUAUCUCUGUCAAUACCCAUAUUACUAAAGCUCUGAUUCGAUCCGAUGUAUGAUCCGAUGCCUUCUUGCUUUAAUACAAGCAGGACACAGAAGGAAACUGCAUUCGAUUGCAUAUUCAGAAUUCUCAGAAUCACUACGAGAAUGGGAGAUUGCCUUCUUGAAAAAACUGCAUUAAAUGACGACGAGGAAAGUGGUAAAGUAUUGCUGAUGCUGGGGAAGUUCAGUUUAUCAUCCAAAAUCUUUUUGAUCGCUAUGUGGGUUACGUCUUGGAUUCCUUAAAUAAUUAUAUUUAUUAAUUAGCUAUUAAUAUUUUGUUCAGCGCUCCCAUAUCUUCCAGACGAUCACCAUCCCGUCAGAGUCCCUUCUUAAUGAAUUGUGUACUGUUGAGGAUAGUUCAUGUAAAAUAGUUAAAUUCACAGGUACAUGGGAAAUUAGUAUAAUAUGUUCUCUGUACCUAUUUAUUUAUCGUUCGCGUUGAUUGGUAUUUUUCUUAUUCAUUUCUAAGCCAUGAUUAACAUGAAGUAUAUGUCUUUUACAGGCCGCCAAAGAGUUUGGAGUUUCGAUUUUUGCCGAUGGCUGACUAGAUUAUUGACUAGAUUAUUUUAGUUUGGAGUUUUUGGAUAACUUUAGAUUUUGGUAGUUUGGGCUUUUUUGGUAUAUUGGUUGUAUAUGAUUGAAUGUUGGAUAUUGGUAUUGCGGUUUCUAUGAAUGAAUAUGAAUA
Molecule: long non-coding RNA, 1566 nt
Organism: Daucus carota subsp. sativus
Lineage: Eukaryota; Viridiplantae; Streptophyta; Magnoliopsida; Apiales; Apiaceae
Exons: 3
Source: RefSeq, a predicted model, not a curated record